CACGGAGGGUGCGAGCGUUACCCGGAUUUACUGGGCGUAAAGGGCGUGUAGGCGGCCCGUUAAGUCCGGUGUCAAAGCCCACGGCUCAACCGUGGAAAGGCGCCGGAUACUGGCGGGCUAGACGGACGGAGGGGGUAGCGGAAUUCCCGGAGUAGCGGUGAAAUGCGUAGAUACCGGGAGGAACGCCGAUAGCGAAGGCAGCUACCUGGACGUCCCGUGACGCUGAGGCGCGAAAGCGUGGGGAGCAAACCGGAUUAGAUACCCGGGUAGUCCACGCCCUAAACGAUGAGUGCUGGGUGUCGGGCUUUGGCUCGGCGCCGUAGCUAACGCGUUAAGCACUCCGCCUGGGGAGUACGGCCGCAAGGCUGAAACUCAAAGGAAUUGACGGGGGCCCGCACAAGCGGUGGAGCAUGUGGUUUAAUUCGAAGCAACGCGAAGAACCUUACCAGGCCUUGACAUGCCGGGAACCCCCUGGAAACAGGGGGGUGCCCUUCGGGGAGCCCGGACACAGGUGCUGCAUGGCCGUCGUCAGCUCGUGUCGUGAGAUGUUGGGUUAAGUCCCGCAACGAACGCAACCCCUGUCGCUAGUUGCCAGCAGUUCGGCUGGGCACUCUAGCGAGACUGCCCGGGAAACCGGGAGGAA
RNAcentral lists this ribosomal RNA (643 nucleotides) under uncultured bacterium. Its description in RNAcentral is "bacterial SSU rRNA". It matches the Rfam family "Bacterial small subunit ribosomal RNA", at positions 524 to 1171 of the family's 1533-position model. The record is from RNAcentral.